AUUCAGCUGACGAGUCCCAAAUUGGACUAAAUGUGCAUCCUGAAU
Non-coding RNA from Schistosoma curassoni, 45 nucleotides. The record is from Rfam. Lineage: Eukaryota; Metazoa; Platyhelminthes; Trematoda; Strigeidida; Schistosomatidae.